RNAcentral lists this ribosomal RNA (481 nucleotides) under uncultured bacterium. Its description in RNAcentral is "partial 16S ribosomal RNA". It matches the Rfam family "Bacterial small subunit ribosomal RNA", at positions 28 to 507 of the family's 1533-position model. The record is from RNAcentral.
GACGAACGUUGGCGGCGUGCUUAAUACAUGCAAGUCAACUGAAGCAGUGGUAGCAAUAUCGCUGUGGAGGUGGCGCACGGGUGAGUAACACGUAGGUAAUCUGCCUUCAGGUCUGGCAUAACUCCGGGAAACCGGGGCUAAUAGCAGAUGAUGCAGCGGCUCGACAUCGAGGCAGUUGUUAAAGCUAUGGCGCCUGAAGAUGAGCCUGCGUCUGAUUAGCUAGUUGGCGGGGUAACGGCCCACCAAGGCAACGAUCAGUAGCUGGUCUGAGAGGAUGAUCAGCCACACUGGAACUGAGACACGGUCCAGACUCCUACGGGAGGCAGCAGUAAGGAAUAUUGCUCAAUGGGAGAAAUCCUGAAGCAGCAACGCCGCGUGAGGGACGAAGGGCUUUUGCUUGUAAACCUCUGUAGUGAGAGAAAAAAAUCCCAAUCUUUGGGACAUGAUGGUAUCUCAAAAGUAAGCCCCGGCUAACUACGUG